GGUCUUGACAUACCAUUGACAGGUGCAGAGAUGUACCCUUCUUCGGACAAUGGAUACAGGUGGUGCAUGGUUGUCGUCAGCUCGUGCCGUGAGGUGUUGGGUUAAGUCCCGCAACGAGCGCAACCCCUAUUGCUAGUUGCUAACAUUCAGUUGAGGACUCUAGUGAGACUGCCAGUGAUAAACUGGAGGAAGGUGGGGAUGACGUCAAAUCAUCAUGCCCUUUAUGACCUGGGCUACAAACGUACUACAAUGGCCAAUACAAAGAGAUGCGAAGUCGCGAGAUGGAGCGAACCUCAUAAAAAUGGUCUCAGUUCAGAUUGAAGUCUGCAACUCGACUUCAUGAAGGCGGAAUCGCUAGUAAUCGCGGGUCAGCAGACCGCGGUGAAUACGUUCCCGGGUUUU
Molecule: ribosomal RNA, 402 nt
Filed under: uncultured Bacillota bacterium
Lineage: Bacteria; Bacillati; Bacillota
Description: bacterial SSU rRNA
Rfam family: Bacterial small subunit ribosomal RNA
Source: RNAcentral